Molecule: ribosomal RNA, 465 nt
Filed under: uncultured bacterium
Lineage: Bacteria
Description: partial 16S ribosomal RNA
Rfam family: Bacterial small subunit ribosomal RNA
Source: RNAcentral
CCUACGGGAGGCAGCAGUGGGGAAUAUUGCGCAAUGGGCGAAAGCCUGACGCAGCGACGCCGCGUGAGGGAUGAAGGUCUUCGGAUCGUAAACCUCCGUCUGCAGGGAAGAACGGUCACUGUGCUAAUCAGCAGUGAAUUGACGGUACCUGCAAAGGAAGCACCGGCUACCUCCGUGCCAGCCGCCGCGGUAAUACGGAGGGUGCGAGCGUUAAUCGGAAUUACUGGGCAUAAAGCGAUCGUAGGCGGUAUGUCAAGUCAAGGGUGAAAUCCCCGGGCUCAACGUGGGAACUGCCUUUGAUACUGGCAAACUGGAGUGUGUGAGAGGAUGGUGGAAUUCCAGGUGUAGGAGUGAAAUCCGUAGAUAUCUGGAGGAACAUCGGUGGCGAAGGCGACUAUCUGGCACAUAACUGACGCUGAGGCUCGAAAGCGUGGGUAGCAAACAGGAUUAGAUACCCGAGUAGUC